RNAcentral lists this long non-coding RNA (972 nucleotides) under Struthio camelus australis. Its description in RNAcentral is "lncRNA (ENSSCUG00000016271.1)". Lineage: Eukaryota; Metazoa; Chordata; Aves; Struthioniformes; Struthionidae. The record is from RNAcentral.
GUCCUAUCAACUACAGCUCUGUCUGUGAGUCUGUGGAAUAUGCAAGGCUUUUUUUUUUUUUUUACUCUGUACCUCUCAGGUUUGUUGCCAAGUGCCCAAAAAAGAGCUUAAGAAGCAUUUAUCUAUCUUUCACUGGUAUGACUGGGACCCUCUUGCUAUUCUGUUGUCCUCCAGAUAUUCCUGAGUCUUAGAGAAACUGAUUCUCUUUUUUCUCUUUUAAGAAAGUGUUUUCCCUUUUUCUUUAUGCAGCAGCGUGAUGUGGAGCUGUCAUCCCUGUGCGAUAGAUUGCAAAAUGGGUUAGUCCUCCCUUUCUUACCUCUGCUCCUGGAUAUCGCUCUCAUUUCACUUACUUAGGCAUUGUCACUUUUUGUGACGUGCUGCAGGACAUUCCCUUCUGUACCCGUCAUCCUAGCUCUGUGCAAUUGUGCUUGGUCUGGUGAUUAUUUCCAAGAAGGCAGAGUCUGCGUCAGUACUGAGACAUCUUCCUUACUCAGGUGGGCUGCUAAUCUGCAUUCACAUUUGAAGUUUCUCGACCUACUGGUUGGUAACGCUACUCAUCUCUUGCUACUUUUUCACAAAACUCAAGUCAGCAAAAGUUGCACUGACUAGUAUGAAACUCAUAAUACCUUGAACAGUGGGAAAGUGUGUUUUUGCAGAUAAGGCAGCCCAAACUACUCAUUUAACUCAGUGCGAUCCCCACACUAUGAAUCUGGCACCACACCAGGGAAAGAUAUGGGAGAAAGAAGCCAACCUAUUAUAGCAGGUAGAUCAGUACAUAUAAGUGUAGGCAAUCAUUUAAUGGGAGCCUAGCUAAAUAAGCUGCCCCUCACCUUUUGUUCUUUUAUAGAUGUUUGUGUUACUAAUUAUGCUGUGGGUUUAGGUCUGCAAAGUAAUGAGGCUGUUCUACCUGCUGAUGUCAAAAUAUCUGACUGUUUGCUGAUACUUUAAAAAAGCAGGUAGGAGAGAACUGGC